RNAcentral lists this transfer RNA (76 nucleotides) under Virus Rctr197k. RNAcentral describes it as "tRNA-Pro". It matches the Rfam family "tRNA". From Rfam's summary of the family: Transfer RNA (tRNA) molecules are approximately 80 nucleotides in length. Their secondary structure includes four short double-helical elements and three loops (D, anti-codon, and T loops). The record is from RNAcentral. Lineage: Duplodnaviria; Heunggongvirae; Uroviricota; Caudoviricetes.
UCGGAGCGUAGCGAAGCCUGGUAUCGCGCCUCGUUCGGGACGAGGAGAUCGUGGGUUCAAAUCCCGCCGCUCCGAU